This 18-nucleotide microRNA is filed under the name Murid gammaherpesvirus 4 (Murine herpesvirus 68). Its description in RNAcentral is "mghv-miR-M1-1-5p". Its record names the gene mghv-miR-M1-1-5p. Lineage: Duplodnaviria; Heunggongvirae; Peploviricota; Herviviricetes; Herpesvirales; Orthoherpesviridae. The record is from miRBase by way of RNAcentral.
AGGAAGUGGGUCCAACUU